GGCAAGAUUUGUAGCAAUACGGAUCCUAGAGUAGCGUAAGGGUGCGUAACACGUAUGCAAUCUGCCCGUAACAGGAGGAUAGCUCUUCGAAAGAGGAAUUAACACUCCAUAAGAUCACGAGAGGGCAUCUGAUUGUGAUUAAACUACAAGGGGUUGCGGAUGAGCAUGCGUCUGAUUAGUUAGUUGGCGGGGUAACGGCCCACCAAGACGAUGAUCAGUAGGGGAACUGAGAGGUUGGUCCCCCACACUGGCACUGAGAUACGGGCCAGACUCCUACGGGAGGCAGCAGUAGGGAAUAUUGGACAAUGGGUGAGAGCCUGAUCCAGCCAUGCCGCGUGCAGGAAGAAAGCCUUCUGGGUUGUAAACUGCUUUUUUCAGGGGAUAAAAUACUCGUGCGCGAGGAAUUGCAAGUACCUGGAGAAUAAGCCACGGCUAACUACGUGCCAGCAGCCGCGGUAAUACGUAGGUGGCAAGCGUUGUCCGGAUUUAUUGGGUUUAAAGGGUGCGUAGGUGGUCAAUUAAGUCAGUGGUGAAAUACGGCAGCUUAACUGUCGAGGUGCCAUUGAUACUGGUUGACUUGAGUACUGAUGAGGUAGGCGGAAUGGACGGUGUAGCGGUGAAAUGCUUAGAGAUCGUCCAGAACACCGAUAGCGAAGGCAGCUUACUAAGGAGUAACUGACACUGAGGCACGAAAGUGUGGGGAUCAAACAGGAUUAGAUACCCUGGUAGUCCACACUGUAAACGAUGAUUACUCGAUGUUGGCGAUACACAGCCAGCGUCUUAGCAAAAGCGAUAAGUAAUCCACCUGGGGAGUACGCCGGCAACGGUGAAACUCAAAGGAWUUGACGGGGGUCCGCACAAGCGGKGGAGCAUGUGGUUUAAUUCGAUGAUACGCGAGGAACCUUACCUGGGCUAGAAUGCCCUUGACAGAUUCAGAGAUGGAUUUUUCGCAAGAACAA
Molecule: ribosomal RNA, 959 nt
Filed under: uncultured bacterium
Lineage: Bacteria
Description: bacterial SSU rRNA
Rfam family: Bacterial small subunit ribosomal RNA
Source: RNAcentral